Molecule: long non-coding RNA, 597 nt
Organism: Vespula pensylvanica (western yellowjacket)
Lineage: Eukaryota; Metazoa; Arthropoda; Insecta; Hymenoptera; Vespidae
Exons: 3
Source: RefSeq, a predicted model, not a curated record
CUAUCAGCGCUCUCGAUAACAUCGGGCGUGGAACUUCGAAGAUCUAAUACCCAAUCUAAAAUAGCUUCCUCGUGCAUCAUGUCUCCUGUAUAAAACUGACGAAAUUUGUUCCUGUAAAAUGCAAGAGCUGGUAGCCCAGUUUGGAAUUAACCUCUUCGAUCUUCCCUGGUAUCUCCAGUGUAUUUUCGUCCGUGAUCCAGGACAGAACUUCGUCCUCGUCUCCAAGAUCACCAGGAUAUAUCAAAGGUUCUUUAUUUCUAAAGAAAGCCAAAGUGGGGAAGCUUCUAAUACCAUAUUUCUUGGCAAGUGGCAUAUCUUCCGUCGUCACGAAAAUAAUACCAGCUUCGUCUAACUCGUCGUCGAUAUUUUCUAAUUCUAAAAGAACGUUAUCGCAGCUUUCACCUUCGUCACAGCUUCCACCUUGAAGAAAAUUGAAGAGAAUUAAGACACGACAAGUUAAAAAGAGUAUGUUAAAGCGCGGAACAAGGAUUGGAGAGUAUGAGAAUGGAAAAAAGAAAAAAGAGAAGGACAAUUGCAACACGCCUAUCACAAUAAAUUAAAACUACUAUUAUCGACUAUGUUGGAUUUUUCCUUUUU